This 380-nucleotide ribosomal RNA is filed under the name uncultured eukaryote. RNAcentral describes it as "partial 18S ribosomal RNA". It matches the Rfam family "Eukaryotic small subunit ribosomal RNA", at positions 592 to 976 of the family's 1831-position model. The record is from RNAcentral.
CAAUAGAGUAUAUUAAAGUUGUUGCAGUUAAAAAGCUCGUAGUUGGAUUUGUGGCGUACGGUGUGUUCCGGGCACUUGUUGUCUGAGUAACCUGCUGUUGCCAUCCUUGGGUGGAACCUGUGUGGCAUUAGGUUGUCGUGCAGGGGAUGCCCAUCAUUUACUGUGAAAAAAUUAGAGUGUUCAAAGCAGGCUUAUGCCGUUGAAUAUAUUAGCAUGGAAUAAUGAGAUAGGACUUUUUUGCUAUUUUGUUGGUUUGCGCAAAGAGGUAAUGAUUAAUAGGGACAGUUGGGGGUAUUCGUAUUCCAUUGUCAGAGGUGAAAUUCUUGGAUUUUUGGAAGACGAACUACUGCGAAAGCAUUUACCAAGGAUGUUUUCAUUAA